CCUGACCGAUUUUCUCGUCGUCAUUUGGCACUGGGAUACUCGCAGGAUAGCGUACGGUCGUCAGAGUGCACAACAUAUCCGAUCAGUAAACGGCAAAAUGUCGAGAAUCGCGGUCUUCUUGCUCGUCGCGCUCAUCGCAGUGGUCGCAGUCGCGGUCGCGGUUCCGACCGAGGCCCAGCCAGAGUUACAUACAGAGUUACCGGGAACAACCAAAGCAGCGCCAUCAAGAGUAGCCAGAGCAGCCGCGCCUGAAGCCGAGGCUAUAGCCUCGGCUGAAGCCUUGGCCCAUAGAUACCGCGGACACCACCGCGGACACCAUCACCACCACGGGCAUCACCAUGGUUAGGCAGCGGGAAGUUCUUCACUACCUCCGGCAGUCGACAUGGACAACGAUUUUAAAAGGGAAACGACUACUGUGAUUGAAAACGGACUCGCGCGAUGAUAAACUGAUUUUACUUAUACACUUAUCUUGCAAGUACUUGUUUUUAUGAUAAGAUUAAUAUAAUAAAUUUAAAAACACACAAAGAAGUUUACCUGUUAGAUUUUAUGUCUCGGAAAUAUUACAGUGAGAAAAAAGUAUUAAAAAAUAUUUAUAAUUUAUUUGUGGGACUUAAGGUUUAUUUCAUAGAAAUAAGGUAUGAUGUAACGAGUUAUCAUCACAAUGUUUAUUUGAUCCCACAAAUAACGGUUGUCAAAUUCAAUAUAUUUUCGUGUAAUUACAAACUUUUCAUGCCAAUUCGUCACUGGGCUAUGUAGCAUCGCUGCGUUUCCAUAUCAGUUCCUUCGGCUUUCCGUAAAUUGAUACAUAAUUUGGGUAAUCGAUUGCAGCGUUUAUUAUUCAAUCUGUUACAUUUGAUUGUCCGAUAAGUAUUAAACGCAAAAACACAAUUAUUCGACAAUUUCUGUCGUCUCGUGACAAUUUGCGAAUAUUUCCGCGACGGUCUAUCAGUGUUCCUCUACUCUUAUUCCCUCACUUAACUGUCUAUUAGCGCGUCACGGUUAAGCACAUUUCACACAAUUUGUAUAUAUUAUAUAGAAAAUGUGUGCGUAGGAUAAAAUUUAGUUAAAAUUAGUGUAGUACAUAUCGUUAAAGAUCACACAUAUAAUAAUUUUAGUCAUAAUUCCGGUGUGGUUCAAUAUUACAAAAUUGUGUGAUAAUAAUUACUAUUGUUAUUACUAUUGUUAUUAUUAUUGUUAUUAAAGUUUUAUUUAUCCAGCAAUCCGAGACAAAACGUUUUAGGCACAAAAUCUAAUUUAAUAUAAUUUAAAGUCUCAAAAAAGAGGGCGGUACUUUGGUGGACGGUGAAUAUCAAAUAUUACCAUGUGAUAUUAUAUAAUUAAUUGGCAUAAAAAACCUAAUGAUAAUUAACUCAACUAUUAUAAUACCAUCAAAGAAUACAUUAUAUUCUAUAUAAUAAUUUAUAUUAUCACGUUCAUGAGCCUAGGCUCGUAUGGCGACGUGUGGGAAUCAAUCGGUAUGAUUUACCCCGCGAAACUGAAGACUGCUCGAUGAUCAGCUCGUACUAAUAUCUUGCAAAAUGAUAUUCAUCGACAAACGAACAGGAAAUCGCACCAAGGACUCGCAAGCGUAACAUCGAUCAAUAUCGACAAAGAGAGAUCUGUUUGUCCCAUCUAUCAGUGCUAAUGAUAUGCAGCGAUUCAUCGUAAAAGUGCUCGUUUCGUAACUGCAUAAACUCACUCGUAAAACGAGUUAUGCGGACGGCUUAUCAUAUAUAAAAACUGCUUAGCUGAUUUUUUCGUCGUCACUUAGCAUUGAGGUGCCCACAGGAUAGCGUACGGUCGUUAUCGCGCACAACGUAUCCGAUCAGCAACAGCAGAAUGUCAAGGAUCGCGGUCUUCUUACUCGUCGCGCUCUUCGCAAUAAUCGCAGUCGCAUUUUCAACACGUCCGCCAUCUUCCAGGAGAUUCCCGUCCGGGAUUCGAGCCGCGCCUGAAGCCG
Long non-coding RNA from Dinoponera quadriceps, 1960 nucleotides. RefSeq lists it as uncharacterized. The transcript is spliced from 4 exons. Lineage: Eukaryota; Metazoa; Arthropoda; Insecta; Hymenoptera; Formicidae. The record is from RefSeq and is a predicted model, not a curated record.